UUAAAGUUCACGGUUCUUUAAUAAGAGAAACUUAACAUGAACAAAAUACAAAACGUGGCAAAACCGAAACAGUCCUAUCUGGUGCAGAAAACACAAAGACAGGAAACAAUCACCCACAAAAUACCCAAAGAAUAUGGCUGCCUAAAUAUGGUUCCCAAUCAGAGACAACGAUAAACACCUGCUUCUGAUUGAGAACCACUCUAGGCAACCAUAGACUUACCUAGACAACUAAACUGAACACAACCCCAUAAAUCUAAUAAACCCCUAGACAAGACGAAACACAAUAAAUCACCCAUGUCACACCCUGGCCUAACUAAAAUAAUAAAGAAAACAAAGAUAACUAAGGCCAGGGCGUGACAACUAGGCUAUUUUUUUUGCAAACAAGCUAGCUAGCUACCUAGAUGAUAUUAGCAACAUACGCGUUUAGUUCUGUUGCAGAGUCAAAGCCAGAUAAACUCAUUUCAGAAUGUAUCCAUAAUCAUGAAUGAAUAAGCAUUUAUUUGACAAGAAUGUACCUAGUCACCCAUCAAUCAUGUCAAACACCUGAAAUCCAACAAUUAUUAUUUUAAACAAAUCAAAGUAGGUAACAAUGCAUACAUAUGCCUUUUAUCAGUGCAUGAUUAGGCAGGAGCUCAACGGAGCUGAUUACCGGCACCUCACAUUGUCUUCUGUUUGAGCUGCUGUUCCUCUUAGAAUAUUAGCUCAAUAGUAUUCUGGAGCUCCUGCACCUAAAUACUGUAUAAACAGUACAGGCACCUAUUACAGGCCAUGUCAAUCACUGCCUUUUAUACAUGGAAACAUCUGACUUGAAGUAAAGAUUACGUUAUUUAUUCAUCAAUGCCACAAAUCUUGGACAUUAAAGAGGCAUGCACCAUAUUAGCUAUUAUUUAUCAGAGAGAGCACCGAUUCUUUAGCUUUUCCAUUUUAGAAAUUAGGCCAGCUCAAAUAACACAAAAUGUAAAACCAGCAUUUUGUGAUUUGUUGUGGGUGAGUUAUUAAUGGAGAAAGAACUUGAUGCUUAAGGCAUGUUUAAUAUAAAACAUUAGGUAAACUCCAGCAGAAUAAGAAACACUUACAGACUCAAAACAAGGAAGCCGUGCCUAAACGCAUCUAUAUCAACACCCUUCUUAUCAAUUUAACAGGUCCAUGUUGCUGGUGUCAAUUGUGAGUAGCAAAAACAAGUAGCCUAACCUUUUAUUGCAAUUGAAAUGAGUUUGUACGAGUUAAGUUAGAUUACAUUGCUUCCUCAAUCGUUAUUUUAAAUAAUUUCAAUGACAUCAAAACAAUUGCUAGCUAGCUAACUAAAUUUAGCUAGCUACUUUAGCAGGCUCAGCUAAAUAAAAGUCCCGCUAGAAACAGCCACGUCUAAUAGUCACGUCAUGAGAUUUGUAAAUGAAUGAUCAUACGAAUCGCUGCCCUGUAUAAUGGUCAAUGUUAUUGCAUUGCUGGGCUUUUUGAAACUUAAUGUAUUUGUAUUGUAUAAAAAAAUAUAUACAAAUAAAAGGAAAUAUAUGGUUUAAACUUGUCUUAAAUUUAUUUGUUUUAGCUGUUAGUGAUAAUUCCCUAAGUGUUAAUACAUGUGUGUUUACAUCAUUAAGCCUUUAGGUAUGCGUUAUGAUUAUGAUCAAAUGUGUCUGACUUUAUAGUAAGAACAGCGUCAUAUGAUACAAGGCAUCUAUGUGUGUUUAGAAAUGAUCAAAUGUGUCUGACUUUAUAGUAAGAACAGCGUCAUAUGAUACAAGGCAUCUAUGUGUGUUUAGAAAUGACCAAAUGUGUCUGACUUUAUAGUAAGAACAGCGUCAUAUGAUACAAGGCAUUUAUGUGUGUUUAGAAAUGACCAAAUGUGUCUGACUUUAUAGUAAGUACAGCGUCAUAUGAUACAAGGCAUCUAUGUGUGUUUAGAAAUGACCAAAUGUGUCUGACUUUAUAGUAAGAACAGCGUCAUAUGAUACAAGGCAUUUAUGUGUGUUUAGAAAUGACCAAAUGUGUCUGACUUUAUAGUAAGAACAGCGUCAUGUGAUACAAGGCAUCUAUGUGUGUUUAGAAAUGACCAAAUGUGUCUGACUUUAUAGUAAGAACAGCGUCAUGUGAUACAAGGCAUCUAUGUGUGUUUAGAAAUGACCAAAUGUGUCUGACUUUAUAGUAAGAACAGCGUCAUAUGAUACAAGGCAUCUAUGUGUGUUUAGAAAUGACCAAAUGUGUCUGACUUUAUAGUAAGUACAGCGUCAUAUGAUACAAGGCAUUUAUGUGUGUUUAGAAAUGACCAAAUGUGUCUGACUUUAUAGUAAGUACAGCGUCAUAUGAUACAAGGCAUCUAUGUGUGUUUAGAAAUGACCAAAUGUGUCUGACUUUAUAGUAAGUACAGCGUCAUAUGAUACAAGGCAUCUAUGUGUGUUUAGAAAUGACCAAAUGUGUCUGACUUUAUAGUAAGAACAGCGUCAUAUGAUACAAGGCAUCUAUGUGUGUUUAGAAAUGAUCAAAUGUGUCUGACUUUAUAGUAAGAACAGCGUCAUAUGAUACAAGGCAUCUAUGUGUGUUUAGAAAUGACCAAAUGUGUCUGACUUUAUAGUAAGUACAGCGUCAUAUGAUACAAGGCAUCUAUGUGUGUUUAGAAAUGACCAAAUGUGUCUGACUUUAUAGUAAGAACAGCGUCAUAUGAUACAAG
Molecule: long non-coding RNA, 2665 nt
Organism: Oncorhynchus tshawytscha (Chinook salmon)
Lineage: Eukaryota; Metazoa; Chordata; Actinopteri; Salmoniformes; Salmonidae
Source: Ensembl